RNAcentral lists this ribosomal RNA (438 nucleotides) under uncultured bacterium. RNAcentral's name for it is "partial 16S ribosomal RNA". It matches the Rfam family "Bacterial small subunit ribosomal RNA", at positions 339 to 795 of the family's 1533-position model. The record is from RNAcentral.
CUACGGGUGGCUGCAGUGGGGAAUAUUGGACAAUGGGGGGAACCCUGAUGCAGCAACGCCGCGUGGAGGAUGACGCAUUUCGGUGUGUAAACUCCUUUAUAUGUCAAGAAAAUGACGGUAGCAUAUGAAUAAGCACCGGCUAACUCCGUGCCAGCAGCCGCGGUAAUACGGAGGGUGCAAGCGUUACUCGGAAUCACUGGGCGUAAAGGACGCGUAGGCGGGUUGGAAAGUCAGGUGUGAAAUCCUACAGCUUAACUGUAGAACUGCACUCGAAACUCUCAAUCUAGAGUAUGGGAGGGGCAGAUGGAAUUAGUGGUGUAGGGGUAAAAUCCGUAGAUAUCACUAGGAAUACCUAAAGCGAAGGCGAUCUGCUGGAACAUUACUGACGCUAAGGCGUGAAAGUGUGGGGAGCAAACAGGAUUAGAUACCCGCGUAGUC